Molecule: unclassified non-coding RNA, 1621 nt
Filed under: Hevea brasiliensis (rubber tree)
Lineage: Eukaryota; Viridiplantae; Streptophyta; Magnoliopsida; Malpighiales; Euphorbiaceae
Source: RNAcentral
CUUUGCCUGAAGUCGCGCGAGGGAAUCAUGUGUUUCGUAAGGUGUCAAAGGAAGCAUCGGGCAUGGUCUAUUCCUUGGCUAAUCGGUUCUCCAAACCAAACGCAUCCUUUGUCUCUCUUUAUAUAAAUUCCUACAUGCGCUCGCACUUGGAACGGAGCACAUUAAAUUCCAUAAAAAAAAGUUCUAUUUAUUUCGCAGCGUACAUAAAUACAUACAAAAUCGCCGUGUUGUUAUUGUCAGAUUUUCCCGCAUCUUCCGGCGACUUUUUCCGGUUCAGCUAUGGCUUGAUGUGGUUUUUCUUAGUUAACAAAGACUCCCACCAGCCUAUGCGCAUAGCUAUAUAUGCCUUUUCUUUUGAGGUACUUAUUUGUUGAAGUAGGAAGAGAGGGAGAAAAAAGUCUUUGCUGAUUUUCCCACAGGAGCCCUAUCCACGGAAGAUAAAAAGAGGGACGUCCAGGACAAUAGAUACAAAAAAUCAGGUGGCAAAGAGAGCCUUUGGUUAGACCUAUUCACAAACGAUUAUGUUUUAGUUGUGGUUCUCAAUAAACUACCAUGGCAAUAAAAUCCUACCAAGAUCAGGCAGAGCUGCUCCUGAAGGAAUAUUUGCUAGCUGGUUCUUCUAUCCUAUACACUUCUGUUAUUGUUGGCAUUUGUGCUUGCAAUAUGGUUUAUGAUCUUAGCCAGUUAUUCAGUCAGUCUUAUUUACUUCAAGAGCUAUUCCAACCUUACAAAAAUGCAACGUAUUGAGUGGAAAAACCGGGCAAUAUCCACAUUUCAUGCCAUUUUCAUCACAGUUAUAUCUUUGUACUUAGUAUUCUGCUCAGAUCUGUACUCUGACUAUCGUCCUGGUCUUAUAAUAUUUCGAAGUUCUUCACUGUCUACAUUUGCGUUAGGGGUUUCUGUUGGUUACUUCAUUGUUGACCUUGGAAUGAUCAUCUGGUUUUAUCCUUUUCUAGGUGGGAUGGAAUACGUGAUUCAUCAUCUUAUUUCCAUGAUUGCUGUGGCAUAUGCUAUGUUGAUUGGGGAGGGGCAGCUUUACAUCUACAUGGUUCUGAUCUCAGAGACAACUACGCCUGGGAUCAAUCUGAGAUGGUAUCUGGACACAGCUGGAAUGAAGAGGUCUAGAGCAUAUCUCAUAAAUGGAGUAGUAAUAUUCUUGGCUUGGCUGGUUGCCAGGAUACUCCUUUUUAUAUACUUCUUUUACCAUGUCUACUUGCACUAUGAUCAGAUCAGGCAAAUACACAACUUUGGGAAACUUUUGGUUCUAACAGUGCCGGUAGUGCUGUCUGUGAUGAAUUUAAUGUGGUUUUGGAAGAUUAUCAAGGGACUGAAAAAGACAUUAACAAAGAGGCAUUAGCAAAGCAGAAACUGAGGAAUAUCUCAACUGGUGUUUACUCUGGUAUUCUCUCUCUAGUGCACAUGCACGUUUGUAAAUGGCCUUUCAUAAUCUUCUAUUGCAUGAAGAUAUUUUGCUUUGGAUUGUAACAUUGAAUAUAAAUUUCAUCAUUCACUGUGAUAGAUGGUAAUUUGUGCAUGUUUAGAAUGGAGAGAACGUGGCGUUUUUCGUGUACUUACAUUAAAAAAAAAAUUCCUUAAAUUACAACAUAUUACAAUUUUCCAA